This is a non-coding RNA of Equus caballus (horse), 2344 nucleotides long. NCBI's taxonomy places the organism in Eukaryota, Metazoa, Chordata, Mammalia, Perissodactyla, Equidae. The record is from RefSeq and is a predicted model, not a curated record.
AAGAUAGGGAGAUUAUUCUGGAUUAUCCAGUUGUGCCCAAUGUAAUCAUAGAGUUCUUAAAAGUGGAAGAGAGAUGCAGAAGGGAAGAUCAGAGUCAUAUGAUGUAAGAAGGACUCAACCCAUCAUUACUGGCUUUGAAGAUGGACAGGGGCUAGAAGCAAGGUAUGUAGGCAACCUCUAGUAGCUGGAAAAGGCAAAGAAAUGGCUUCACCCCUAGAGCCUCCAAAAAGAAAUGCAGCCCUGCCAACACCCUGAUUGCAGUGCAAUAAGGUUAGGCUUUUGACCUCCGGAACUGUAAGAUAAUACGUUUGUGUUGUUUUAAGCCACUAAGUUAGUGGUAAUUUGUUAUAGCAGCCAUAAGUAACUGAUACAGUUCCCUCUCUCACUCAGGGUAAAGGCAAAAACCAGGAGUGAAAUCCAAGAUUCCAAAUGACCUGGCCCCUGUUACCUUUGAGGCCUCAUCUCCCACUUUGCACCUUAUUCAUUAUUCAGCCCCACAGCUUUGUAGAAUGAAUGUGUGAUUUUGAAACACUUCAUUUUCCAGAAGAAAGAGAGGAGAGGUGACUUGCCCGUGGUCCCCCAACAGGGACUUGAACCCAGGACUCCUGCUCAACUACCGGUAGGUUACUAUCUCUAGUGCACUUAGCUUCCACUCCAGCUUCCUCCCCCAGGAAGUCUUGUGGUUAAGUCUGCCCUGGCCACCUACCAAAGUGUUUAAAUUCCCUUCCAGUGAGAGAAUCUUUAUGGUGACCAUAUUAUUCCCUGCCAGAAGAGUUCUUGCUGUGUGAAAUUCAAAUGACAAAAACAUUUUCCUUUUAAAAGGCAGAGAAGAAAUGUCCAGGGCAUCAUAUUACACUGAUCAAGACAGGCAAAUUCCCUAGGAGGAAAAGACAGGCCUGGCUUUCCUUCAGCCCAGGAGGUUGACUGUGUGAAUUCCUGUUCAUACCCCAGGAUGUAGAGUGAGCUACAUGGAAACCUGGACACAUUGCUAAGUGUUGUUGGCAGUAUCAAUGAGUGCAAAUGGCCCUCCUUUUGGGCUGACCUGGCAUUUCUCUUUCCAAAUAAGAAGGUUUGAUUGGUUAGCUUGUGGCCACUGAGUAGAGGGCCCCACUGGAUGUUUGUGCUGAGUCACCUUGGAGCUGAUCAACUUCCCUUGUGUACAUCUGAUAUGUGUUGUAGGCUGUUCUGGGUCUGAUCUCUGGUCCAAUCAGCUCUGGCCACGAGAGCAGAAGUGGCUUCCCCUACAAAGCUUGUGGGUACCAGCCUGGCAGACACUGUAGGCCUAUUAUGUUGUUUGGAUUUUUUUUGGUCUGGCAUUCUUUUCUUUUGGGAACUUCUUCUUCUAGGUUGUUCUCCUGGGGUUCUCAAUUCCAGCCCUUCCCCCAGCCUCAAGGAUAGGCACAUGACCCAUGUCUGGCCAAUUUAUAGUACCCAAUUCCUUGGACAAUAAUGAUUGUUCUAGAGAGGAUGCUCGUGGGAUCUAAGCAGGGACAAUCAGAAUCCAACGGGAAGAACAAUAUACAGACUGAAGGAAGUAGACUCUCUCUUUCUAUUAGGAUGUCUAAACUAGGAGAACGUGAAUCUGGAGCUGCCCAGUGGAGAGCUCUUGUUUGUGCAGGAAGCUAAACAGAGUCAAGCAAAAGUGAGAAGCGCAAGGAGAGAUGGUUCUUGAGAUGGAGUCUGGCUAAUAUGGGGGCUUAGGUGGAAAGAAACUGAUGGGCCCACCUGUCACAGACAAGAGAGGACUUAGAACCCAUUCCUGCAGAGAUUAAUGCUACAAUUCCCUCAAAGGGGGUCUUUAGAGAGCCUGGCCUGGGACAUCCACAAAAUGCUGGCUCUCUCCAGUUCUUCACUCAUGUGGCCAAAACAGACGCUGUUGACCUGACCCGUCUUCACAUCACAUUUCGAGUCCCUAACAGACCAAUAAAUGGCUCUGUGGCCUGAUUCCAAAUUCCAUGGAGAGAGAAUCCCUCAGUCUUGGUCCAAUCAACUCCUGUCCACGGGUGAGAACUUGUAUCUGGGGCCUUCGUUUGUGGGUAAAGAGCCUGCUGGCAAAUAUCCUUAAAGGUUUCUCUGUGAGCACCAAAUAUAGUUUUAAAGAGCAGACAACCUCCACUUAUCCACCAACCUGGCAGGUCAGGGGGAAUCUAGCCUUCUUUUCAAAUUUUCUGUCCUGCAUUAGACAAUGUCCUUAGCCUUUUAACCUUCUGUCUCCUUAAACGCCUCUCCCCAGCAUAAACCCAUCAUAUCGCUGAGGGGGGAAAAAGCAGACGAAAAGAUUAGAUUCUCUUCCUGUUCUAAACAUGAAGUUAAUCUACUGGAAAAAAACCAUUAUUGAUUUUUA